Aedes aegypti (yellow fever mosquito) is the source of this 992-nucleotide long non-coding RNA. RefSeq lists it as uncharacterized. The transcript has 3 exons. The record is from RefSeq and is a predicted model, not a curated record. NCBI's taxonomy places the organism in Eukaryota, Metazoa, Arthropoda, Insecta, Diptera, Culicidae.
AUUGCAAAAAAUAUUAUACGUAACUCGAUGCACAUUAUGCAAAAUGGGAUAUUAUGCGUAUAACGGCAAUGUUUCACGAGAAUUGGGGCACUGUUUGCUAAUUAAAGGACUCAUCAUUACAUCCAGCGAUUCCUGGAGCAACAUGUUUAUCCAAUGCGAGCGUGAUCAGAAACAUUGACAAAAAAAAUCAAAGUAGAGCCAUACGAUUUAGGGCUAUAUGUUCCAUCAGAGUCAUAGAAGCUUUUGGCAUCAUUAUCGUCCACUUCGCCAUGGUUGCAUCAUAUAGCUCGAAGACACUGUAUGCUCUUCACUAGUAGACAACGAAUGCUAGCCCUGGAAACAAGAAUACACAACCCAGCAUAAUAAAGGUCUACCAAAAGCAAAUUAUUAAACUCAUCGGGCUGGAAAAUUUCGUACGCUCUAGUUGGGAAGCCUGUCCAGUCCCAAAAGAAGCAUUAUCCUGCUAUGGAAGGCGAGGUUAGCGUUCUACUCGUGAUAACAGUGAUAAUCGGAACAGUGCUAAUGACAUCGUUGCUCGCUUGUUACAUUUGUGUGUUUAGACAGCUGUGCUGUUCCACCGAUAUGGAUCUGGACCGCAGCUACAGCCAACGGAGCUCAAAAAGGACUUACACUCUACGUGAUAGCACUAACAUGGCGGAAAUCACCAACAUCACUAGUCAGCAAACGGAAAUUGAAAAGGUCUAGCCUAGGCUGGGCGAAGCUAUCACUUCGCUCUAACAACUCACCUUUCAGGAAAUUGAAACUUUAUUACGGAACAUGCAAAUGUAAUCAAAUGUGAAUUCAUUUGUACCACCCAUGGAUUUGUAAAUAAUUAGACUAGCUGUUUUAUUACGAGAGCUCAUAAAACCAAACGAUUCUAAGAGCAGAAUGAAGCUAUAUUUAUAUGCUAAGUCAACAACAGUGUACAUGUAUGACUAUAAUCUAGUAUAUGAAUAAAGGUGUAUUAAACGGGUGAACAUUUUUUAAAUAAA